GACGAACGCUGGCGGCGUGCCUAAUACAUGCAAGUCGAGCGAAGUUUUUCUGGUGCUUGCACUAGAGAAACUUAGCGGCGAACGGGUGAGUAACACGCAAAGAACCUGCCUCAUAGACUGGGACAACUAUUGGAAACGAUAGCUAAUACCGGAUAACAGCAUUAACUGCAUGGUUGAUGUUUAAAAGUUGGUUUUGCUAACACUAUGAGAUGGCUUUGCGGUGCAUUAGCUAGUUGGUGGGGUAAAGGCCUACCAAGGCGACGAUGCAUAGCCGACCUGAGAGGGUGAUCGGCCACACUGGGACUGAAACACGGCCCAGACUCCUACGGGAGGCAGCAGUAGGGAAUCUUCCGCAAUGGGCGAAAGCCUGACGGAGCAACGCCGCGUGAGUGAAGAAGGAUUUCGGUUCGUAAAGCUCUGUUGUUAGGGAAGAAUGAUUGUGUAGUAACUAUACACAGUAGAGACGGUACCUAACCAGAAAGCCACGGCUAACUACGUG
This 499-nucleotide ribosomal RNA is filed under the name uncultured bacterium. Its description in RNAcentral is "partial 16S ribosomal RNA". It matches the Rfam family "Bacterial small subunit ribosomal RNA", at positions 28 to 507 of the family's 1533-position model. The record is from RNAcentral.